Small nucleolar RNA from Meriones unguiculatus (Mongolian gerbil), 133 nucleotides. RefSeq annotates it as small nucleolar RNA SNORA11. The transcript has a single exon. The record is from RefSeq and is a predicted model, not a curated record. NCBI's taxonomy places the organism in Eukaryota, Metazoa, Chordata, Mammalia, Rodentia, Muridae.
GGGGUGUCCUCAGAGCAGGGUCCCCUAAAAUGGUCAAUCUAUUAAUUACACACCAACAGGAAUUUGGGGUUAGUUUUCAUGGGAGACACAACCUUCUGUGGCAUCCUGUUCUGUAUAAGUAUUGCUAAUAACU